RNAcentral lists this ribosomal RNA (1741 nucleotides) under Sphenodon punctatus (tuatara). RNAcentral's name for it is "SSU rRNA". The stretch from base 548 to 1741 matches the Rfam family "Eukaryotic small subunit ribosomal RNA". The record is from RNAcentral. Lineage: Eukaryota; Metazoa; Chordata; Lepidosauria; Sphenodontia; Sphenodontidae.
GGGAACACAGGGAGGGGUAAAAACAAAAAAUAACACCUAAAUCUAUCUAAUAUAAUAUAAAUAAAUGAUAAUGUGGAGGUAAAUGGGUUGGAUGGGUGAAAUAGGAGGAGGAUGGCAAUGGAUUAGGAAUAGGAAGGAACAAAAACUGCUGGGAGAGAGGGAGUCUUCUGAAAUGUCUGCUGUUCAGAAACAGUGACUAGCUAGAAGGUGUUGGGAAGGGAGGGAGGCAAUCCGUUUUGUUUCUUGCUGCGCCCGCCUCACCGCAAGCUCCAUUGGCUCCAUGCAGCCUAGCCCGUGGCCAAUCGCAGACUGCGAAGCCAGUCUGAGGUGAAAAGGGAUGGUGAUUGGGCAGGCUGGCUGCUACUCCAAGUCUCUCCACCCCUGGUACCUAGAAGUCUGCUCCUCAACUGACUUCCCCUCCCUGUCAUGUUUUGCCUUCCAGUGACACAUUUUUGCCACCUGAACUCACCCGAACAUGAUCCGAACGACCGAACUGUUUGGUCAUUUUGACGUUCGGAUCUAGUUCGGUUUGGUCAGUUCAUGUUUGGACUCGGGUUCGGGUUCAGUCGUCCGAACAUGCCGAGUUCAGGUCAAACUCCGAACUUCCGAACCGCAUUUGCUCAUUCCUACCUGUCCCAGUCCCUGCCUCUUGGCACUUCCUUGAUGCUCUUAACUGAGUGUCCGGGGGGUCCGAAGCGUUUACUUUGAAAAAAUUGAAGUGUUCAAAGCAGGCCGGUUGCCAGAAUACUCCAGCUAGGAAUAAUGAAAUAGGACUCCGGUUCUAUUUUGUUGGUUUUCAGAACUGGGGCCAUGAUUAAGAGGGACGGCCGGGGGCAUUCGUAUUGUUCUGCUAGAGGUGAAAUUCUUGGACUGGCGCAAGAUGAACCAAAGCGAAAGCAUUUGCCAAGAAUGUUUUCAUUAAUCAAGAAUGAAAGUCGGAGGUUCGAAGAUGAUUAGAUACGGUCAUAGUUCUGACCAUAAACGAUGCUGACUAGCGAUCCAGCAGCGUUAUUCCCAUGACCUGCCAGGCAGCUUCCGGGAAACCAAAGUCUUUGGGUUCUGGGGGGAGUAUGGUUGCAAAGCUGAAACUUAAAGGAAUUGACGGAAGGGCACCACCAGGAGUGGAGCCUGCGGCUUAAUUUGACUCAACACAGGAAACCUCUCCCGGCCCGGACACAGAAAGGAUUGACAGAUUGAUAGUUCUUUCUCAAUUCUGUGGGUGGUGGUGCAUGGCCGUUCUUAGUUGGUGGAGCGAUUUGUUUCGUUAAUUCUGAGACUCUGGCAUGCUAACUAGUUAUGCGACCCCUGAGCAGUCGGCGUCCAACUUCUUAGAGGGACAAGUGGCGUUCAGCCACCCGAGAUUGAGCAAUAACAGGUCUGUGAUGCCCUUAGAUGUCCGGGGCUCCACACACACUACACUGACUGGCUCAGUGCCUACCCUACACCGACAGGUGUGGGUAACCCGGUGAACCCCAUUCGUGAUGGGGAUUGGGGAUUGCAAUUAUUCCCCAUGAAAGAGGAAUUCCCAGUAAGUGUGGGUCAUACGCUCGCAUUGAUUAAGUCCCUGCCCUUUGUACACACCGCCCGUCACUACUACCAAUUAGAUGGUUUAGUGAGGUCCUCAGACUGGCCCCGCCAGGGUCGGCCACGGCCCUGGCGGAGCGUCGAGAAGACGGUCAAACUUGACUAUCUAGAGGAAGUAAAAGUCGUAACAAGGUUUCCGUAGGUGAACCUGCGGAAG